UACGUAGGGUGCAAGCGUUGUCCGGAAUUAUUGGGCGUAAAGAGCUCGUAGGCGGUUUGUCGCGUCUGCUGUGAAAACUCGGGGCUCAACCCCGAGCUUGCAGUGGGUACGGGCAGACUAGAGUGCGGUAGGGGAGACUGGAAUUCCUGGUGUAGCGGUGGAAUGCGCAGAUAUCAGGAGGAACACCGGUGGCGAAGGCGGGUCUCUGGGCCGAUACUGACGCUGAGGAGCGAAAGCGUGGGGAGCGAACAGG
This 253-nucleotide ribosomal RNA is filed under the name uncultured bacterium. RNAcentral's name for it is "partial 16S ribosomal RNA". It matches the Rfam family "Bacterial small subunit ribosomal RNA", at positions 524 to 776 of the family's 1533-position model. The record is from RNAcentral.